RNAcentral lists this ribosomal RNA (1541 nucleotides) under Catenotaenia sp. VH-2017. Its description in RNAcentral is "LSU rRNA". It matches the Rfam family "Eukaryotic large subunit ribosomal RNA", at positions 79 to 932 of the family's 3401-position model. Lineage: Eukaryota; Metazoa; Platyhelminthes; Cestoda; Cyclophyllidea; Catenotaeniidae. The record is from RNAcentral.
CUUAGUAACGGCGAGUGAAGAGGGAUGAGCCCAGCACCGAAGCCUGCGGCAGUUUUGCUGUUAGGCAAUGUGGUGUUCGGGUCGACUGGCGGGACCGUAACUCCACUCGAAGUCCAGCAUUGAGUAUGGUUAUCAUUGGAUUUGGCCCAUAGAGGGUGAGAGGCCCGUACGGGUGGAGGUUCAGACAUGUGAUACGGUUCACCAGGUCGGCCUUAGAGUCGGGUUGUUUGAGAUUGCAGCCCAAAGUGGGUGGUAAACUCCAUCCAAGGCUAAAUACGGGCACGAGUCCGAUAGCGAACAAGUACCGUGAGGGAAAGUUGAAAAGUACUCUGAAGAGAGAGUAAAUAGUACGUGAAACCGCAUGCAGGUAAACGGGUGGCGUCAAACCGCGAGCCCGGAGGAUUCAGCUGGUUGGGUUGUUUUUAUGGCCGGAAUAAGUUUUAGUGGUCCGCUCUCUCCUUGUGAGAGUGGAGCGAAGUACGAGGUGUGUGUGUGAGUGUUGCACCAUUGUGUUGUAGCGCUUGCAACUGCCGCCUCCUCUGAGCUAUACGUGCCGGGUGGGUGCCGGAGUAUGCCACUAAUCUGUAGGGCCGCCUAGUCAGUGCAAUUUCUCCGUGGUGAACAUCACGACCGAUGGAAUUGCCAGUCCACCGUGGUCAAGUCGUGUUCACCUGACUUUUGAAGGUUGCCAUUUUUGGUAAUCUUUUAUUAGUUUGGUGGGUAUGAUCGCAGGUGGAGCGAGUAAACGGCGUAGUGGUGCUUCGGUAUUGCUACGUGUUAUCGUGUACUCACCGCCAACGAGUCGCUAUGCAGUGAUGUGACUAGACUGCUAACGGCUUGGCGGACUACGGUGGUAAAAAUGACUGUGCAAGGCAUCGGAUUUAUCCACCUCACGCAUAUGUAUAUAUCAGCAAUGAUGUAUGUGUAUGCGAUAGUAUCCGGCAGGCAUUUCACAUAUGCCACAUUUGGGGGCGCGUUGCCGUGUGUAUGCAUUAUACGUGAUUGUCGUUUUGCCUACAAAAAGUAGGUGCGGCAGUGGUGUAGUGUAUUAUUAAUAAUGCGCGGUAUUACGCUGUCUCCGGUGCAUGUGAUACUGUGGGUGUAAUAGUCAGUGGUGCUGUGGUAGACGAGCUACCCGACCCGUCUCGAAACACGGACCAAGGAGUUUAACAUGUGUGCGAGUCAAAGGGCUAUACGAAACCCCAAGGCGUAGUGAAAGUAAAAAUUAUAUUGCAUUUAUUUGCAGUAUAAUGAGGUGAGAUCUCAUUGCGCGCGUGUAUAUUUUAUAAUAUGCAUUAGAGCAAUGGGCGCAUCACCGGCCCGUCCCAUGAUGUGGUCAUUGGCAUUGAUAUGUGUGUACACUUGUGUAUGCUAGUAUCAGCUAAUGCGUCAUCGGGGCGGAGCAUGAGCACACACGUUGAGACCCGAAAGAUGGUGAACUAUGCUUGCGUAGGUUGAAGCCAGAGGAAACUCUGGUGGAGGACCGUAGCGAUUCUGACGUGCAAAUCGAUCGUCAAACGUGAGUAUAGGGGCGAAAGACU